AUUCGGCUUCUACCCGUUCUCUCGCCGCACAAUGGCCCCUACGGAUCCCGAGGUCUCCUGGAGCCCCCAAAAGCCCUUCCCGGCCUCUGCGCCCCCUCUGCGCCCCCACCCGCCCCAGGUCCCAGCAGCCCACAGACUUCAGCCAGAGACCCUCAGCUCUCCAUUCACGCGCUCUCCUCUCCCUUGGCCCGGAGACCCCUGCCCAGACUUCUCCAGCUCCGUGUCCUCUCCCCACCGGACACAUGUCUCCCCACUGAUCUCAAACGCCAGGGCCCCUCCUCACCCGCCACGGUGCCCUCCCUACUCCAGCGCGGGCCCCCAACUCUAGCCAGGGCCCCCAACUGCAGCUCUAUUCCUUACAAACUCCACCCUCAAACUUAAGCCCUGGUCCCCUCCAGACCCCAGCCGCGCCCCCAGUCUCCAGGCGGCUCCCCCACCCCCAUCCCGUCUCCAGCCCUCCUCACUCACCCGUCUGUUCCCGGCCGGUAAAACUCCACUGAGAAUCCGAAGAAGGAGCCCGGGGGCCCCGAGAGUACUGCUGGGGCCUCCGCGUCUAAGUUGAAGCCCCCGACCCUGGGUGGCGGCGGCAGCAGCAGCAACAGCAGCGGCAGCAGCGGGGGUCGGCGCCGGGGGCCCCAGCGCAGCUGCACGGCGUGGAGAGGGGACUCUGGCGUCCGGCUCCCCAUAGCGCCCGCUCUUCCCUGUCCUGGGGCCACCGACCCGGAGCCGCUUCCUAAACCUCCCAGAGGCGAAUGACUCAACGCGGGGAGGAGUUUGCCAAACUCCCGGCUGAGCCCUCCCCCCGCCUGCCGAGGGGGCUGGCGGGGGGGCAUUCCUGGGUCCCUGGAACUCUGAGCCCGCGUCCCCCACCCCUAAGGGGCGUGGGGGGGGGGCGCACCCCUCCAACCCCCUUUCCCCAGCCCCAGCUGGAAGCCGGUUGUCUGGACUGGGUUAGACUGGGCGGGUUUGGGUUCUUCCCCCUCCUCUCUGCUUCCCCCUCCUUCCUCCCCAUUCCUUUCCAGAUGUACAACGUAAACGCUCGGAAAACGAGUCGGAAAAGGGAGCGGAGAAUUUCCUAAUGAGGAAAGGAAUCACCUCUGGUGGGCGGAGGAAGCCUGUAUAUGUGUGUGGGGUCUCCCUCAGUGCUUUAGGGAGGAGACUUUGGGGUCUAAAGAGACAGGAGACUCCUCUGGCGUCCGGCCAACUGGGAUUCCCCCUUGCCUUCCGGGGCCGCCGGGUGCCUGGGUUCUGGCCAGCUGGAUUUGGGACACAACAGUUGAGGUACAGAGACAGCGUUCGCAGUCAGCUUGCUAGAGGACCUACACGGGCUCCUCAAGUUCCGCUGCUUCCUCCUCCAAGCUUGCUAGUAUUGAAAACCCAGGAGUUUGGGGUCAUUCAUCAGGAGGAUUCUGCUCCAGUUUGCCCCCUUCUUGGUCCUAGGAUACUGGAGGGCCAGAGAAAGCAAGCUUGAAACAGAGAGGAACGGGUCACUUUGGUGGAGGAAAUUGGGCCACCAAGCAGCCCUAUGGAGAGGCCAAUGUGGAGAGAAACUGAGGCCUUCCACCAAAAGCCAGCACCAACUUGCUAUCCAUGUGAGUGAACCAGCUUGCAGUACAGAGUGGUCAACCCCAGUCAAGCUUUCAGAUAACUACAAGCCUAGUUGACAUCUUGACUACAACUUCAAGAGAGACAUCAAGGCAGAACUGCUUCGCUAAACUGCUCUUGAAUUCUUGACCCACAGAAACUGAGAGAGAGAAUAAAUAUUUAUUGUUGUUUCAAGUAA
RNAcentral lists this long non-coding RNA (1783 nucleotides) under Homo sapiens (human). RNAcentral describes it as "HSALNT0368461". Lineage: Eukaryota; Metazoa; Chordata; Mammalia; Primates; Hominidae. The record is from RNAcentral.